AUAUGAACUUAUGGACUUAAAACUAGGCAACAUUCCCUGUGCAAAAAGGACUUGGCAAAUGCCAUAAGGAGUGUGUAUUGACAUGUAUACAUCCUUCUAUUUUUUUCAUUCAUUUUUUUUUAUUUUCUUUUUCUAUUUUUAUUUUCUUUUUCUACCAACUUCUGAAAUAUUACAAACAUAAUUAUUUAACCCCACACAACUUCAAACAAGACUCUUUCAACCCUUUGAAUAGGGUGAUAUAACAUUAUUUUUCACUUCUCGGUUUGUAAUGAGUUUUAAACA
Molecule: long non-coding RNA, 282 nt
Filed under: Lathyrus oleraceus (garden pea)
Lineage: Eukaryota; Viridiplantae; Streptophyta; Magnoliopsida; Fabales; Fabaceae
Description: Pisum sativum (pea) long non-coding RNA (PSAT_LNC031579)
Source: RNAcentral